This is a small nuclear RNA of Suncus etruscus (white-toothed pygmy shrew), 110 nucleotides long. Lineage: Eukaryota; Metazoa; Chordata; Mammalia; Eulipotyphla; Soricidae. The record is from RefSeq and is a predicted model, not a curated record.
GUUCUCGCUUUGGCAGCACAUAUACUAAAAUUGGAAUGGUACAGAUUAAGAUUAGCAUGGCCCCUGCACAAGGAUGACAUGAAAGAGGGGCAGAACGAUAGAAUAGCAGU